This 3779-nucleotide long non-coding RNA is filed under the name Homo sapiens (human). RNAcentral's name for it is "HSALNT0355415". The record is from RNAcentral. Lineage: Eukaryota; Metazoa; Chordata; Mammalia; Primates; Hominidae.
GGAGUGGGCGGCGCGGGGUGGGUGGAGUGGGUCGGCGGCGGGGAUCCUGCCGAGCCCGCAGCUGCCCUCUUUUAGCGCCGUGUCUCCUCCCCGGCCCUGGCUCGUCCCACCUCAGCCACAGCCCGGCCCCCUGGCCGGCCGAGGUCUCGCCGCCGGCGCCCUGGGGACCUCGUGGGUGUGGCCGGCGGCGACCUCGGCAGGCGACAGCCCAGCAGACGGGCACCAGGUGGACGUGCCAGUCUCCAGACCCCCGUCCCGGUGCAGGGAAGGUGGGCGUUUGGACCCCUGAGGCAGAAACAGGUGCGGCCCCGCCGGCGCAUCCCCCGGAAGGGACGCUGACUUCGUUCCCCUGGAGCCUGCGUCGGGGCCCGCGCUGGGCUGAGAAUUACGGGAACGCCGUGAGAGUUUGCAUUCCGAGGAUUUGGUCUGAGAACCUCACCAGCGAAAUAGAGAACUGCCCCCGGGAGAGCCGGCCCACGUGCCGCCCACCGGCGCCUUGACGGCAGGGAGAGGUCGAGCUUCCAGGGAGCGGGCGCCCGGCGCGGGGCUCCCAGCCUGUCUGUACCUGGUCGAGACACCCCGUGCCAGAGGCGGAACAUGUAUGAAAUGCCAGGUCUGUUGAGAUUGUCUAUUUUUUCUUGAGUCAGCCGUCUGAAAAGAACACGAGGUGGACAGGGCAGAGCGGUCAAGGAAAGCCAUAGGAGGAGGGCACUUAUUUGAGCAAAGACCGGCGGGACGUGGGCGUCGAGGGUAAGGAUAUCUGCAGAAGUACUGUCUUGAGCAAGGAGCACGGCAGACAGAGCCUCUGAGACACGAGAGCCUGGAGUGUAAGAAACACAGUAGAGGCCACUAAGUCGAGAACGCAGGAGCUGGAAGGACUGGAAAUGGGCAGCCUUCGGAAGACUGAGCACACGGAAGGAUAUGACUAACCCUUUAAAAGGGUCAUUCUGACUCCUGGGUGAAGAACAGACUAGGAAGGGCUGAGGAGGAGGCAGGAGGCCAUCUACUGUUAUAUGGGAUGUGGAGUGUGACCCGGAAAGGUCAAGUGUGACUCUAAGGGCUUUUUGUGUACUGAUCUUUUAUCCUGCAACCUUGCUAAACCCAUUUAUUAGUUCUUCUUGUCUUUUAGUGGCAUUUAUUAGUUGUUCUAGUGUUUUAGUGGAUUCCUUGGGAUUUUAUACAAAAGCGUGUCAUUUGUGAAUAGAGAUCAGUUUAUCUCUUCCUUUCUAAUCUGGAUGCCUUUUAUUUCUUCUCCUUGCCUAGCUGCCCUAUCUAGAAGCUCCAGUACAAUAUUGACUAGAAGCAGCAAGAGUGGACAUCCUUGUCUUGCUCCUGAUUUCAGGGAGGAGGCAUCCAGUCUUUCACCUUUGGACAUCCUGAGGUUCCCACCAAGUGGACAUUGGCUUAUUCUACAAGCAACAGGAUGAGGCCCCUGGACUCCUCACUAGCAAAAUAGUGCAGUGACAGCAACACCCCCCCCCACACACACACACACAAAGAUGUCCACAUCUUAAUUCCUGGAACCUGUGAAUGUGUGACCUUACCUGGUGUCUUAGUUCAUUUGUGCCACUGUAACAAAAUACCACAGACUGGGUAAUUUAUAAACAAUAUAAAUUUGUUUCUCAUGGUUCUGAAGGCUGGGAAGUCCAAGAUCAAGGCACUGGCAUGUCCUGUGUCUGGUGAGAGCACUUCGUUACUGUUUCCUCUGGAGGGAAGAAUGCUGUGUCCUCACAAGGUGGGAUGGACAGAGGGGCAAGAAAAGGCCAAACUCCACAGGAAGCCUCUUUUAUAAGAGGAGCCCUCGUGACCUAGUCCGAAAUGGCCCCACCUCUUCUUUCACCACAAUGGGGACCAAGUUUGUUGUUAGUUAACCUAAAUGACAGAGGAGCUCUCUAAAGAGAUAUUUAUUCAGGAAUAGGGCCUUGCAACGGGAACACGUAUAUUACGGUAACUGCAUGUUCAAGGAAGACAAAAGUUUUAAAGGAAGAAAGGAAGAUUACAUAAUCAUUUUGAAAUGAUACUCUUGACUGCAAAGAUUAAUAGCAAGGGAGACACCGGUCCAAGUUUGGAAGGUAGCUGCUGGGCAGGUAUCCUUGCAGAAGUAUUUUCUUGUGUAAGAUUUCAGCGGCCUUGGCCAGGUGUGGUGGCUCACGCCUAUAAUCCUAGUAGUUUGGGAGGCUGAGGUGGGUUAAUCACUUGAAGUCAGGAGUUCAAGACCAGCCUGGCUAACAUAGUGAAACUCUGUCUUCACUAAAAAUACAAAAAUUAGCCGGGCAUGGUGAUGCAUACCUCUAAUCCCAGCUACUCAGGAGGCUGAGGCAGGAGAAUCACUUGAACCCGGGAGGCAGAGGUUGCAGUAAGCCAAGAUUGCACCACUGCACUCCAGCCUGGGCGACAGAGCAAGACUUGGGCUCAAAAAAAAAAAAAAAAAAUUCAAUGGCCUUUGUGCAAGGUUGUGGGUUUUGUGGUCUUUUGUGAUAGUUUUUGUUAUCGGGCAUAUGGACCCUCUCUUCAUGGCCUUCCCUAGCUCUAUUUGUUAGGGUUUUCUUAACAUUAGUCACUCUGUUUUGAUUCUGACAACUUUCAGUUUCAACAUGAAUUUUGGAGGGGAUGCCAUCUUUUAAAUCAUCGUACCUGGUAAAAGGGACUUUGGAGAUGGGAUUAAGUGAAGGGCCUUCAGAUGGGGGGUUAUCCUGCGCUAUCCAGGUAGGUCCCAUAUAAUCACGAUCAUGAGAGGGAGGUAGGAGCUUCACAGUUGGACAGAAGAUGUGACCACAGAAGCAGGGGUCAGAGGAGGGAAGAUGCUGGCUUUGAAGGCAGAGGAAGGGGCCACAAGCCAAGGAAUGUGGAGACCCCUAGAAGCUGGAAAAGGCAGGGACAGAUUCUCCCCUACCCUAGAGCCUCCAGAAGGAGCCAGCCCUGCCAACACCUUGACUUUACCUCAGUGAGAUAAUUUAGACUUCUGACCUCAGAACUGUAAGAGAAUAAAUGCUUGUGUUUCGACCACUGAAUUUUUGGUAAUUUGCCAUAGCAGCUGCAGGAAACAUAUACACAUGGUGACUAGUUACUGAGUUCCUUCCCCAGACACACUCAGGAGCAUGUAACCACCACAGCCUCCUAGUGGAAGCACAGGUCCUGCAGAGAGGCCAUGCCUGUGCACCCCAGGAGCCAAGGCCACCCUCCUGCACAGGGCACCACCCCUUGCACCUGCACACUCCAGCCUCCACACAGCCCUUGGUCAGGGCUGGGUACACCAGGGAAUGUUUCAAAGUAAAGCAUCCCUUACUGUGGUCAUUCUCAGCACUUUUUUUCUGGAAAGACAGAUAUGACAGAAUAUGUUCAUGUGUGACAUGGGCCCAUGGGGGUGUUUGGGAUAGUUAUCAUAUCCAGCACACCGAGAAGGUUGAUAUUGAGAACUGGGACAGGAAAAAAUACCAUCUUUAUCAUCACUGGCCUUUAACCAAAAUUUAACAUUUUCCUGAAUUAUGAAUCUAGGCAACCAACUGCUGCAGCAGCAUCAGCAGUGUCCGGGACUCCACCUCCUACAGAAGUCGUGGAUGUCUCACAUCACAUCACCAUUGCUGCAGAUGCCACAGAAUACCAUUCUGCUCAUCAUUGCUCCAAAAUUACCAUAACUCCUGGACCAGCUGCUUGAUUACAUUAUUUAAUGCAUUCAUAAAGAGGCACAUGCAGUACUGUACCACCGUUUAAAAUUUGUGAUGAAAGUACUUUAAUUUCAUUUUUAAUUUUGUAGGCAUUAAAAGCAUUAUCUGAAUCUC